Long non-coding RNA from Passer domesticus (house sparrow), 976 nucleotides. RefSeq lists it as uncharacterized. The record is from RefSeq and is a predicted model, not a curated record. The transcript is spliced from 7 exons. Lineage: Eukaryota; Metazoa; Chordata; Aves; Passeriformes; Passeridae.
GGUCCUACGACAGGAGAGACCAAAGGCAUGGCAGGCAAGAAAUUCCAGGACCCAUUAGAAGUCAUGUGGCAAAUGCUGAAGGAAUGUCUGCAGAGAAGGCAAGAAAUGAAAGGAGAGCCUGUGCAGAAGGAAGCACUUCCAGGAGGAAGCAGUGGUUCUGUGCCAGCCUCUGCUGCAGGAAGGGAGGCCAUGCCAGGCACAGGCACAGGAGAUGAGGGUGUUGGGAAGGCUUCUCCAUCAGCUUGGAUGAAUAAAGUUUUGAAGCCCUUGCAGCCUCCUACAGGUAUGUUCUAAGUGUGCCACCAAGGAAGAAUUGUAGACAAGUGGGCAGGAACCAGGUGACAGAAGCUGCUGGGGCUGUUUUGUUACAGAUGUGUCUACAGGGAAGACUUCUCCAGCUUCUCCAGCUGCUACCUUGGAUGCUGCACUCAAGCCCAGCUCCCAUCUCAGGGGUGAGUAGUGUGUCCCUGCUGACCCACAGGCUGAGCCCUGCUUUUGUGGGAUCCAUUCCUGGGAAAUGGAACUACUUUCUCUUAAGGUCCUCCACCAGAAGCGACCAAAGGCAUGGCAGACAAGAAAUUCCAGAACCCAUUUGAAAUCAUGUGGCAAAUGCUGAAGGAAAUGCUGCAGAGAAGACAAGAAUUGGAUUUUGAGCCUGUGCAGAAGGAAGCAUUUCCCGGAGGAAGCAGUGGUUCUGUGCCAGCCUCAGCUCCAGGAAGGGAGGCCAUGCCAGGCACAGGCACAGGAGCUGAACCUGCCGGUGAAGGCCCCACAUCUAGGACUGAGGCUCUGGGAGAUGCUGAGGGUGUGUCUGCAGGGAGGACUUCUCCAGCUCCAGGGCUGGAUGCUUGGCCCCAACCCAGCUCCCAUGGCAGGGGUCCUCCAAAAGGAAAGACCCAAGAUACUGCAGCCAAAAUGUCUCAUGAGUCAGAUGAAUUCCUGACACAAACACAGAAGGAAGCACCCGGAGGACAAG